GACGAACGCUGGCGGCGUGCUUAACACAUGCAAGUCGAACGGUGAAGCGCCUUCCUUUUUGGUGGGUGUGGAUGAGUGGCGAACGGGUGAGUAACACGUGAGUAACCUGCCCCCUUCUUCUGGAUAACCGCAUGAAAGUGUGGCUAAUACGGGAUAUUCUGGGUCUGUCGCAUGAUGGGUCUGGGAAAGAUCUUGUUUCGGUGGGGGAUGGGCUCGCGGCCUAUCAGCUUGUUGGUGGGGUGAUGGCCUACCAAGGCGGUGACGGGUAGCCGGCCUGGGAGGGUGGACGGUCACACUGGGACUGAGACACGGCCCAGACUCCUACGGGAGGCAGCAGUGGGGAAUAUUGCACAAUGGGCGCAAGCCUGAUGCAGCGACGCCGCGUGAGGGAUGGAGGCCUUCGGGUUGUGAACCUCUUUCGCCAGUGAAGCAGGCCUGCCUCGUUUGUGGGUGGGUUGACGGUAGCUGGAGAAGAAGCGCCGGCUAACUACGUG
This 494-nucleotide ribosomal RNA is filed under the name uncultured bacterium. Its description in RNAcentral is "partial 16S ribosomal RNA". It matches the Rfam family "Bacterial small subunit ribosomal RNA", at positions 28 to 507 of the family's 1533-position model. The record is from RNAcentral.